GGGCACAGUCCGACAGCGCGGCCUCGGCCUGCACGUUCUUGGAGGAACACACCGGCGCCGCUGCUCUGCUCGCCAUCUUUUUGCCAGGAACUGGGGAGGAGAUGAAGUUCUGGGCACACAGAGGUCACCUACCAGCUCAUACAUGAAGUCUGGAUCCGAGCUGCUCGCCAGGAGAUCCGUGCUCAUCAGAGUCUGCUCUGAAAACAGGUGGCUCCGAAAGGCAUCCCCAAAAGGAGGGUCCAUUCCACUCACACUGGGCUACAACACAAUGCACAGACAUUUCAAACGUGAUGUGAAAAGGCACAUUUUCAUCUUCAAAAAACAGAAAGAGGAUCACCAUUCCUCCUAGUCUCAGAAGGUUUUUACCACUGCAGAUCAGCACAUCAUUCCCCAGAGGCAGAGAAUGCUUCACGAGCAGCUGACAACAUGCAGGAGCAAUCAAAGGAUAUAUUUCUAUCCACCACAGAGCUGCAAGAGCAUUCACUGCUCCUUCAUUCUUCCCUGUUGGUUUGAAAAUCUUAUGUUUAUCACAUUUUGGGAUAUGUUGGCAUUUGUAGAAGAUGAGGGCCAGCACUGGCAAGAUUUGGAAGUCCCUCUAAUACAAGUAAUUCUGUACUGAAGCAGUGUUGACUGUGUUUAGAGCCAUUAGAACUCAUAAAACUUCUAUAUAAAAUUGUAAGGAAAGCUAAAUUUAUGACGACCAAAUCUAGAUUGUUACCUCUCUCUCAAGAACGAAGUGAAAUUUGGCAAAAAAAGCAUUAUGCAGGAUGACUGGGCAUGCAGGGAAUGGGCAGCAGGGCCUUCUGCUACAUUUAAUUCCAGACCUCAAUUUCUCUUCUAGACGCUCUCACCCUGAGGGUUGGGGAGGCAGAGACACUGUGCUGCUGAAAGUCAUUGAGUGUGCUGAGUGUGAAUCACUGCAGUAAUAAAAGGCUGUUCUGCUCUCCAGGCAUCCUCCCUCACCCACAGACAAUGUGGCUGGAGCUUGAACAACACAGCACCAAGAGCAGCACCACAGCUUCUACCACACACACUACAGGCACCCUACAAAAUAUACAUCCUUUAAUCUCCUACACAUCUUCCCUCCUAGUGCUGGUCAGAUCUGUUCUUAAACAGAGGCAAAAAUAUUUACAGAAGCAAAUAAAAUCCUAGCAGACUUACCUGAGGCAUUUCCAAGCCCAGAUUCCCCAAAUCCAAUUCCAAACUUCUUGUUUUAUUCACUUGUAGAUUCCUUUCCAGCUUUACUUCAGUCUCAAGGAGUUUACACCAUCCAUGCAAUGAAAUUUUUCCUUAGGAUAACUUCAGUUCACCCUGAUGGAGCUUUUCUAUUUGU
Long non-coding RNA from Passer domesticus (house sparrow), 1333 nucleotides. RefSeq lists it as uncharacterized. NCBI's taxonomy places the organism in Eukaryota, Metazoa, Chordata, Aves, Passeriformes, Passeridae. The record is from RefSeq and is a predicted model, not a curated record. The transcript has 2 exons.